Molecule: long non-coding RNA, 723 nt
Filed under: Homo sapiens (human)
Lineage: Eukaryota; Metazoa; Chordata; Mammalia; Primates; Hominidae
Description: novel transcript
Source: RNAcentral
GAAUCUGUUGACCUGGCGCCACCGGAAAAAGAAAUUCCCGGGCCCUGGCUUCUUGGCCUGAUGCUGACCCUCGUCCUCAGAUCUCUGCAGAACUUUGACCAGUGGUGGUGGAGGAAUUCCGGCACUGCUAGCCUUGAAGCCUCCAGCCUGCUGGAUGCCUCCAUCCCCGGCUAUGCUGUGGCUCUCCUCAUUCUAGGCCUCCUGCUCGUCACAUUCACCCUUGUCCUGGUGCUAAAGUGGAGGGCCUCCCAUGGGGUGUUCAGCCUGGGUGUGUAGAAGCACACAGUGUGGUACAGAGGACCCUCUCCAGACAGAAAUGAUGCUGGGAGCUGACAGAAACUGAACUUAGGAGCACAGGAGGCCAGGAGACCUGGGACAGAGAACAGGAGGUGACCCCUCAUGCUGCUGCUCCCUCUGCUGAAACCCAAACUGCAAACCUCUCCUCUCCCUGCCUUCACCUUGCCCCACGGCUUCCACAGACAGUGCCUCAACCCCGAGGAAUGAAUCCGAAGUUCCAACACCACUGACUUUCCCAGGAACUCAGAGCCAGAGAGGGCCAAGGACCAGCUCGAGGACACACAGCCAGGGCUUCUUCCCUCCGAAACCCCCAAGGACUGGACUUGCAGGGCUGGGACAGAGGUGGGGUGGGGGAAAGCAAUGCCUUGUCAACCCACGUGGGGAGCCCCACUCCCAUCCCCAAGGUGCAUAAAGUUGAGGAACACC